GCUAGGGUUAGGGUUAGGGUUAGGGUUGUGGCUGAGGCUAGGGUUAGGGUUAGGGUUAGAGUUAUGUUUGAGGCUAGGGUUAGGGUUAGGGUUAGGGUUGUGGUUGAGGCUAGGGUUAGGGUUACGGUUAGGGUUAGGGUUGUGGUUGAGGCUAGGUUUAGGGUUAGGGUUAUGGUUGAGGCUAGGGUUAGGGUUAGGGUUAGGGUUGUGGUUGAGGCUAGGGUUAGGGUUAGGGUUAGGGUUAGGGUUAGAGUUAUGUUUGAGGCUAGGGUUAGGGUUAGAGUGAUGUUUGAGGCCAGGGCUAGGGUUAGGGUUAGGUGUGUGGUUGAGGCUAGGGUUAGGGUUAGGGUUAUUGUUGAGGAUAGGGUUAUGGUGAUUUUUGAGGCUAGGGUUAGGGUUAGGGUUAGAGUGAUGUUUGAGGCUAGGGUUAGGGUUAGGGUUAGGGUUUUGGUUGAGGCUAGGGUUAGGGUUCGGGUUAGGGUUAGAGAGAUAUUUGGGGCUAGGGUUAGGGUUAGGGUUAGGGUUGUGGUUGAGGCUAGGGUUAGGGUUAGGGUUAGGGUUAUGGUUGAGGCUAGGGUUAGGGUUAGGGUUAGGGUUACGGUUGUGGCUGAGGCUAGGGUUAGGGUUAGGGUUAGGGUUUUGGCUGAGGCUAGGGUUAGGGUUAGGGUUAGAGUUAUGUUUGAGGCUAGGGUUAGGGUUAGGGUUAGAGUAAUGUUUGAGGCUAGGGUUAGGGUUCGGGUUAGGGUUAGGGUAGUGGUUGAGGCUAGGGUUAGGGUUAGGGUUAGGGUUGUGGUUGAGGCUAGGGUUAGGGUUAGGGUUAGAGAGAUAUUUGGGGCUAGGGUUAGGGUUAGGGUUGUGGUUGAGGCUAGGGUUAGGGUUAGGGUUAGGGUUAGGGUUAGAGAGAUAUUUGGGGCUAGGGUUAGGGUUAGGGUUGUGGUUGAGGCUAGGGUUAGGGUUAGGGUUAGGGUUAUGGUUGAGGCUAGGGUUAGGGUUAGGGUUAGGGUUGUGGCUGAGGCUAGGGUUAGGGUUAGGGUUAGAGUUAUGUUUGAGGCUAGGGUUAGGGUUAGAGUGAUGUUUGAGGCCAGGGCUAGGGUUAGGGUUAGGUGUGUGGUUGAGGCUAGGGUUAGGGUUAGGGUUAUUGUUGAGGAUAGGGUUAGGGUUACGGUUGUGGCUAGGGUUAGGGUUAGGGUUAUGGUGAUUUUUGAGGCUAGGGUUAGGGUUAGGGUUAGGGUUAGAGUGAUGUUUGAGGCUAGGGUUAGGGUUAGGGUUAGGGUUGUGGUUGAGGCUAGGGUUAGGGUUAGGGUUAGGGUUAGGGUUGUGGUUGAGGCUAGGUUUAGGGUUAGGGUUAUGGUUGAGGCUAGGGUUAGGGUUAGGGUUAGGGUUGUGGUUGAGGCUAGGGUUAGGGUUAGGGUUAGGGUUAGGGUUAUGUUUGAGGCUAGGGUUAGGGUUAGAGUGAUGUUUGAGGCCAGGGCUAGGGUUAGGGUUAGGUGUGUGGUUGAGGCUAGGGUUAGGGUUAGGGUUAUUGUUGAGGAUAGGGUUAGGGUUACGGUUGUGGCUAGGGUUAGGGUUAGGGUUAUGGUGAUUUUUGAGGCUAGGGUUAGGGUUAGGGUUAGAGUGAUGUUUGAGGCUAGGGUUAGGGUUAGGGUUAGGGUUUUGGUUGAGGCUAGGGUUAGGGUUCGGGUUAGGGUUAGAGAGAUAUUUGGGGCUAGGGUUAGGGUUAGGGUUAGGGUUGUGGUUGAGGCUAGGGUUAGGGUUAGGGUUAGGGUUAUGGUUGAGGCUAGGGUUAGGGUUAGGGUUAGGGUUACGGUUGUGGCUGAGGCUAGGGUUAGGGUUAGGGUUAGGGUUUUGGCUGAGGCUAGGGUUAGGGUUAGGGUUAGAGUUAUGUUUGAGGCUAGGGUUAGGGUUAGGGUUAGAGUAAUGUUUGAGGCUAGGGUUAGGGUUCGGGUUAGGGUUAGGGUAGUGGUUGAGGCUAGGGUUAGGGUUAGGGUUAGGGUUGUGGUUGAGGCUAGGGUUAGGGUUAGGGUUAGGGUUAGAGAGAUAUUUGGGGCUAGGGUUAGGGUUAGGGUUGUGGUUGAGGCUAGGGUUAGGGUUAGGGUUAGGGUUAGGGUUAGAGAGAUAUUUGGGGCUAGGGUUAGGGUUAGGGUUGUGGUUGAGGCUAGGGUUAGGGUUAGGGUUAGGGUUAUGGUUGAGGCUAGGGUUAGGGUUAGGGUUAGGGUUGUGGCUGAGGCUAGGGUUAGGGUUAGGGUUAGAGUUAUGUUUGAGGCUAGGGUUAGGGUUAGAGUGAUGUUUGAGGCCAGGGCUAGGGUUAGGGUUAGGUGUGUGGUUGAGGCUAGGGUUAGGGUUAGGGUUAUUGUUGAGGAUAGGGUUAGGGUUACGGUUGUGGCUAGGGUUAGGGUUAGGGUUAUGGUGAUUUUUGAGGCUAGGGUUAGGGUUAGGGUUAGAGUGAUGUUUGAGGCUAGGGUUAGGGUUAGGGUUAGGGUUGUGGUUGAGGCUAGGGUUAGGGUUAGGGUUAGGGUUAGGGUUAGGGUUGUGGUUGAGGCUAGGUUUAGGGUUAGGGUUAUGGUUGAGGCUAGGGUUAGGGUUAGGGUUAGGGUUGUGGUUGAGGCUAGGGUUAGGGUUAGGGUUAGGGUUAGGGUUAGAGUUAUGUUUGAGGCUAGGGUUAGGGUUAGAGUGAUGUUUGAGGCCAGGGCUAGGGUUAGGGUUAGGUGUGUGGUUGAGGCUAGGGUUAGGGUUAGGGUUAUUGUUGAGGAUAGGGUUAGGGUUACGGUUGUGGCUAGGGUUAGGGUUAGGGUUAUGGUGAUUUUUGAGGCUAGGGUUAGGGUUAGGGUUAGAGUGAUGUUUGAGGCUAGGGUUAGGGUUAGGGUUAGGGUUUUGGUUGAGGCUAGGGUUAGGGUUUGGGUUAGGGUUAGAGAGAUAUUUGGGGCUAGGGUUAGGGUUAGGGUUAGGGUUGUGGUUGAGGCUAGGGUUAGGGUUAGGGUUAGGGUUACGGUUGAGGCUAGGGUUAGGGUUAGGGUUAGGGUUACGGUUGUGGCUGAGGCUAGGGUUAGGGUUAGGGUUAGGGUUUUGGCUGAGGCUAGGGUUAGGGUUAGGGUUAGAGUUAUGUUUGAGGCUAGGGUUAGGGUUAGGGUUAGAGUAAUGUUUGAGGCUAGGGCUAGGGUUAGGGUUAGGGUAGUGGUUGAGGCUAGGGUUAGGGUUAGGGUUAGGGUUGUGGUUGAGGCUAGGGUUAGGGUUAGGGUUAGGGUUAGAGAGAUAUUUGGGGCUAGGGUUAGGGUUAGGGUUGUGGUUGAGGCUAGGGUUAGGGUUAGGGUUAGGGUUAUGGUUGAGGCUAGGGUUAGGGUUAGGGUUACGGUUGUGGCUGAGGCUAGGGUUAGGGUUAGGGUUAGAGUUAUGUUUGAGGCUAGGGUUAGGGUUAGAGUGAUGUUUGAGGCCAGGGCUAGGGUUAGGGUUAGGUGUGUGGUUGAGGCUAGGGUUAGGGUUAGGGUUAUUGUUGAGGAUAGGGUUAGGGUUACGGUUGUGGCUAGGGUUAGGGUUAGGGUUAUGGUGAUUUUUGAGGCUAGGGUUAGGGUUAGGGUUAGAGUGAUGUUUGAGGCUAGGGUUAGGGUUAGGGUUAGGGUUUUGGUUGAGGCUAGGGUUAGGGUUCGGGUUAGGGUUAGAGAGAUAUUUGGGGCUAGGGUUAGGGUUAGGGUUAGGGUUAUGGUUGAGGCUAGGGUUAGGGUUAGGGUUAGGGUUGUGGCUGAGGCUAGGGUUAGGGUUAGGGUUAGGGUUGUGGCUGAGGCUAGGGUUAGGGUUAGGGUUAGAGUUAUGUUUGAGGCUAGGGUUAGGGUUAGGGUUAGAGUAAUGUUUGAGGCUAGGGCUAGGGUUAGGGUUAGGGUUAGGGUAGUGGUUGAGGCUAGGGUUAGGGUUAGGGUUAGGGUUGUGGUUGAGGCUAGGGUUAGGGUUAGGGUUAGGGUUAGAGAGAUAUUUGGGGCUAGGGUUAGGGUUAGGGUUGUGGUUGAGGCUAGGGUUAGGGUUAGGGUUAGGGUUAUGGUUGAGGCUAGGGUUAGGGUUAGGGUUACGGUUGUGGCUGAGGCUAGGGUUAGGGUUAGGGUUAGGGUUGUGGCUGAGGCUAGGGUUAGGGUUAGGGUUAGAGUUAUGUUUGAGGCUAGGGUUAGGGUUAGGGUUAGGGUUGUGGUUGAGGCUAGGGUUAGGGUUAGGGUUAGGGUUAGGGUUAUGGUUGAGGCUAGGGUCGGGUUAGGGUUAGGGUUGUGGCUGAGGCUAGGGUUAGGGUUAGGGUUAGGGUUAUGGUGAUUUUUGAGGCUAGAGUUAGGGUUAGGGUUACGGUUGUGGUUGAGGCUAGGGUUAGGGUUAGGGUUAGAGAGCUUUUCGAGGCUAGGGUUAGGGUUAUGGUUAUGGUUGAGGCUAGGGUUAGGGUUAUGGUUAUGGUUAUGGUUGAGGCUAGGGUUAGGGUUAGGGUUAUGGUUGAGGCUAGGGUUAGGGUUUUGGCUGAGGCUUGGGUUAGGGUUACGUUUGAGGCUAGGGUUAGGGUUAGGGUUAGAGUGAUGUUUGAGGCUAGGGAUAGGGUUAGGGUUAGGGUUGUGGUUGAGGCUAGGGUUAGGGUUAGGGUUAGAGAGAUAUUUGAGGCUAGGGUUAGGGUUACGGUUAGAGUGAUGUUUGAGGCUAGGGUUAGGGUUAUGGUUGAGGCUAGGGUUAGGGUUAGGGUUAGAGUUGUGGCUGAGGCUAGGGUUAGGGUUUGGGUUAGGGUUACAUUUGAGGCUAGGGUUAGGGUUAGGGUUAGAGUGAUGUUUGAGGCUAGGGUUAGGGUUAGGGUUAGGGUUGUGGUUGAGGCUAGGGUUAGGGUUAGGGUUGUGGAUGAGGCUAGGGUUAGAGUUAGGGUUAUGUUGAGGCUAGGGUUAGGGUUAGGGUUAUGUGUGAGGCUAGAGUAAGGGUUAGGGUUAGGGUCGAGGCUAGGGUUAGGGUUAGGGUUAUGGUUGAGGCUAGGGUUAGGGUUCGGGUCAGGGUUGAUGCUAGGGUUAGGGUUAGGGUCAUUGAUGAGGCUAGUGUUAGGGUUAGGGUUGAGGCCAGGGUUAGGGUUUGAGCUCGGGGUAGGGGUUAGGGGUUAGGAUUAGGGUUUGUGUACGGGUUGAUGUUCGGUCUAGGGUCAGGGCUAGGGUCAGGGUUAGGGUUAGGGUAAGGGUUGAGGUUCGGGCUAGGGUCAGGGCUAGGGUUAGGGUUAGGGUUGAGGCUAGGGUUAGGGUUAGGGUUAGGGUUAGGGUUCGGGUUAGGGUCAUGGAUUUCGGCUAAGAAUCACUUUCCAGGACCUUUCUACAU
Molecule: long non-coding RNA, 5307 nt
Filed under: Xyrichtys novacula (pearly razorfish)
Lineage: Eukaryota; Metazoa; Chordata; Actinopteri; Labriformes; Labridae
Source: RNAcentral